Molecule: ribosomal RNA, 512 nt
Filed under: Juncorrhiza aschersoniana
Lineage: Eukaryota; Fungi; Entorrhizomycetes; Entorrhizales; Entorrhizaceae
Description: partial large subunit rRNA
Rfam family: Eukaryotic large subunit ribosomal RNA
Source: RNAcentral
UGAAGCGGGAAGAGCUCAAAUUUGAAAUCUGGCACCUUUGGUGUCCGAGUUGUAAUUUCUAGAGGUGUUUUCAGUGCUUAGCUAGGUAUAAAUCCUUUGGAACAGGGUAUCAUAGAGGGUGAGAAUCCCGUCUUUGACCUAGAUUAAGUACUAUGUGAUACACUUUCGAAGAGUCGAGUUGUUUGGGAAUGCAGCUCUAAAUGGGUGGUAAAUUCCAUCUAAAGCUAAAUAUAGGCGAGAGACCGAUAGCGAACAAGUACCGUGAGGGAAAGAUGAAAAGAACUUUGAAAAGAGAGUGAAAAAGUACGUGAAAUUGCUAAAAGGGAAGCGAAAGAGACCAGUCUUACUGGCUAAUAAUCAGCCUUACUUUUGUAUGGUGCACUUAUUAGUUAGUAGGCCAACAUCAGUUUUCUUUAUUAGAUAAUGGUUGUAGGAAUGUAGCUUCUUGUAAGUGUUAUAGCCUGUUACUUGAUAUAAUAGAGGGGACUGAGGACUGCAGCGUGCUGUAAUGC